This is a long non-coding RNA of Neopsephotus bourkii (Bourke's parrot), 495 nucleotides long. RefSeq lists it as uncharacterized. NCBI's taxonomy places the organism in Eukaryota, Metazoa, Chordata, Aves, Psittaciformes, Psittacidae. The record is from RefSeq and is a predicted model, not a curated record. The transcript is spliced from 2 exons.
UACGCGCUGGCAGACUGGGGGAGAACAGUAUUUACUUUGGAAGGGGAAAGUCUCUGCCCCCGCAUCCAGCCUGCACAGUUAUAUAAGACUUGAACCGCAUCCCCCGCUCCUCCGCGGCCGCUCACAACGCGCUGGGGGCCGGAGCCAGAUGGAGGAAGGUUCCGUCAGGAAAGUUUAACUCAGCGGGGAAGCUGCAGCCAGUGGAGGACACGAUUCUCUCGCUGAACUCUCCAAAAGCCUUGGAAAUCUUACAGUUGUGUCAUAUGCUGGUUUGGGGAAUGCGAACAGUCCGGAGGCAGCCGCCAGCCCUCUUUCACUUCUUUAUUUAUUUUUUUUCUCUUCGCUUUGCACUGAGUUUAAUUUGGGUAGCAGGAUUCAGCAUUUUUAAGUUGGAAAAAUCUUGGUGGAAGAAGAUAUUUUAGGAAAACCCUGUCAUGUGAACUAGCGGGAGCCGAUCAAACCGAGCUAUUAAAAGAAAGAUACUGUAUUUUUAAA